Long non-coding RNA from Homo sapiens (human), 1486 nucleotides. RefSeq lists it as uncharacterized. NCBI's taxonomy places the organism in Eukaryota, Metazoa, Chordata, Mammalia, Primates, Hominidae. The record is from RefSeq and is a predicted model, not a curated record. The transcript is spliced from 3 exons.
UCGGACAACAGAUGCUCCAGGAAGAGAGGGAAGAAGUUGCUGUUGAAGUGGCAGUGGAAGACCUGCAACCCGACAGGGAUGAUUCCACUCCUCCAUCGGGAAACAGCCUUCUCCCACUUGCCCUCCCCACCCUCAAUCUGCCCCAGCAGAGAACAGCAGCCCCACCUCUCCCAGGGAAGAACAGCUUGGAGCCCACACCAGCCUCCUUGCAUAAGCUGGUCCCAGAAGAGGCGACAGCUUCACCUCAGGACCACCCACCCCUCCCAAGCCACUGAGGAGUUUGGGAUCAGCCCAGGAGCUCUUCACUCAAUAGCUGGUGCUGAAACACGUGUAGGGCUGCUCCCCACCGCCUGCACGUUAAAAUCACCUGAGGAGCUGUGCAAUAAUACCGAGGCCCAGGCCUCACCCAGAACAGUUAAAUCGGAAUCUCUUCGGGCGGGCCCAGCAUCGGUGUUUUUCAAAGCUCCCCAAGUGCCACCAGGGUUAAAUGCCUUUAUGCUAAUGGCACGGAUCCCGACCUGACCAGUGCAUCCCUCGAUCCCAGACCACCAGGGAGCUAUUUGACCCACUGCAUCCCUUUCCUCCAGACCCCCGGAGAGCCUUUCUGCGAGGAUUCCACCCUUGCCCCCUUGAACCCCGCUUCUUCCGCCCGGACCACACAACUCUCCCAAUCCACAAUAUGAUCACCCCAAAGACCCCCGCAGAUAGCCCCCAUGACUCCCAGAGCGCAAAGCAUUCCCCUCCCCCUCGGGUCUGUCGUUUGUGCCAGAUCGGCCCCAGCCCAGCCCGCUCCUGCCCGCGAGCCCCGGCCGCUGGCCAGCGUCUCACCGCAAUCGUAGCCGGCGAAGCCUAAUCCCACGGCUGGCGGGAGCCAGGUGCGAGCCAAUGCGCCUGCGCGCACUUCUAGGGCUUCCCCAGCCUCUCCCUCCGCCCCCGCCCAGCGAUUGGCUCCGCGCGGCCCCCGGGCGCAGCUCCGGCAGGUGACUGCGCCUGAGGCUGCCGCCGCCAUGUUUGUCACGGGCGCUUGCCCUUAGCGACCAAAAUUAAAAGCGGACACUGGCAAAUAGGGUCAGGUUGCCUGGAUUCCUGACCGGCUCAACCCCUCUCCUUUACCUCCACGAUAGCUUAAUGUCAUUUCAGUUGAAACCAACACGUUUUUUCUAAGCGCUCACCUUCCUUCCCUCCUUGCCUAGUACUCGUUGGGAGAACAAAGAGAGGUCAGCAUCCUCCAUUGAGUCUUGUGGUCUGAGCGGAUGCACAGCUGCAGCCGACUUGGAGGUGUCAGCGGCUCGAUCUGGGACUCCCUGAUGCUGCAUCAUGAGCCCUUCAAGGGUGGACAGGUCCAGGUUGAGCUGUGGGCACCAGGGCUCUAGCCACAGGAGCCAGGGCUGAAGGUGGGAAACAGCCACCAGGGCCUGAAUGAGCAACCAUGCAGCACAACCUCUUUGUAUUAAUAACGGCAAUAAUAAAACCUAAGGAGUACUGA